RNAcentral lists this ribosomal RNA (595 nucleotides) under uncultured bacterium. RNAcentral describes it as "partial 16S ribosomal RNA". It matches the Rfam family "Bacterial small subunit ribosomal RNA", at positions 355 to 1376 of the family's 1533-position model. The record is from RNAcentral.
UGGGGAAUUUUGGACAAUGGGCGAAAGCCUGAUCCAGCAAUGCCGCGUGUGUGAAGAAGGCCUUCGGGUUGUAAAGCACUUUUGUCCGGAAAGAAAUCCUCUGGGUUAAUACCUCGGGGGGAUGACGGUACCGGAAGAAUAAGCACCGGCUAACUACGUGCCAGCAGCCGCGGUAAUACGUAGGGUGCAAGCGUUAAUCGGAAUUACUGGGCGUAAAGCGUGCGCAGGCGGUUUUGUAAGACGGAUGUGAAAUCCCCGGGCUUAACCUGGGAACUGCAUUCGUGACUGCAAGGCUAGAGUAUGGCAGAGGGGGGUAGAAUUCCACGUGUGAGCAGUGAAAUGCGUAGAGAUGUGGAGGAAUACCGAUGGCGAAGGCAGCCCCCUGGGCCAAUACUGACNCUCAUGCGAACGAAGCGGUGGGAGCCAAACAAGGAUUAGAUACCCUGGUAGUCCACGCCCUAAACGAUGUCAACUAGUUGUUGGGGAUUCAUUUCCUUAGUAACGUAAGCUAACGCGUGAAAGUUGACCCGCCUGGGGAGUACGGUCGCAAGAUUAAAACUCAAAGGAAUUGACGGGGGAUCAUAGCUGUUUCCUG